RNAcentral lists this ribosomal RNA (1459 nucleotides) under uncultured Bordetella sp. Its description in RNAcentral is "partial 16S-23S ribosomal RNA intergenic spacer". It matches the Rfam family "Bacterial small subunit ribosomal RNA". The record is from RNAcentral. Lineage: Bacteria; Pseudomonadati; Pseudomonadota; Betaproteobacteria; Burkholderiales; Alcaligenaceae.
GUAGUAACAGAGAGUUUGAUUAUGGCUCCAGAUUGAACGCUGGCCGGGAUGCUUUACAUACCAGUCGAACGACAGCACGGACUUCGGUCUGGUGGCAGGUGGCGAACGGGUGAGUAAUGUAUCGGAACGUGCCUAGUAGCGGGGGAUAACUACGCGGCGUAGCUAAUGCCACAUACGCCCUUCGAGAAGCGGGGACAUUGGGCCUCGCACUAUUAGAACCGGCCGAUAUCGGAUUAGCUAGUUGGUGGGGUAACGGCUCACCAAGGCGACGAUCCGUAGCUGGUUUGAAGGACGACCAGCCACACUGGGACUGAAGACACGGCCCAGACUCCUACGAAGGUAGCGGUGAAAUUUUUGGACAAUGGGGAAACCCUGAUCCAGCCAUCCCGCGUGUGCGAUGAAGGCCUUCGGGUUGUAAAGCACUGGCAGGAAAGAAACGGCACGGGAUAAUACCGUGCAACUGACGUACCUGCAGAGAGUAACACCGGCUAACUACGUGCCAGCAGCCGCGGUAAUACGUAGGGUGCAAGCGUUAAUCGGAAUUACUGGGCGUAAAGCGUGCGCAGGCGGUUCGGAAGAAAGAUGUGAAAUCCCAGAGCUUAACUUUGGAACUGCAUUUUUAACUACCGAGAGCCAGAGUGUGUCAGAGGGAGGUGGAAUUUACCGUGUAGCAGUGAAAUGCGUAGAUAUGCGGAGGAGCACCGAUGGCAGGCAGCCUCCUGGGAUAACACUGACGCUCAUGCACGAAAAGCGUGGGGAGCAAACAGGAUUAGAUGCCUGGUCCCUUACAAACGAUGUCAGCUAGCUGUUGAGACCUUGGACCUUGGUAGCGCAGCUAACGUGAUUGACCGCCUGGGGAGUACGGUCGCAAGAUUAAAACUCAAAGGAAUUGACGGGGACCCGCACAAGCGAUGGAUGAUGCUGGUUAAUUCGAUGCAACGCGAAAAACCUUACCUACCCUUGACAUGUCUGGAAUCUCCGAAGAGAUUUGGGAGUGCUCGCAAGAGAACCGGAACACUGGUGCUGUAUGUCGUCAGCUGGUAGUCGAGAUGUUGGGUUAAGUCCGCAACAGCGCAACCCUUGUCAUUAGUUGCUACGAAAGGGCACUCUAAUGAGACUGCCGGUGACAAACCGGAGGAAGGUGGGGAUGACGUCAAGUCCUCAUGGCCCUUAUGGGUAGGGCUUCACACGUCAUACAAUGGUCGGGACAGAGGGUCGCCAACCCGCGAGGGGGUAAUCCCAGAAACCCGAUCGUAGUCCGGAUCGCAGUCUGCAACCCGACUGCGGCGUGAAGUCAGAAUCUUUGUUAAUCGCGGAUCAGCAUGUCGCGGUGAAUACGUUCCCGGGUCUUUACCGCCCGUCUUUACAUGGGGUGGUUACCAGAUGGUGCUUCAACGUAAGGAGGGCGAUUACCACGGUAGGAUUCAUGACUGAGGUGUAUGAAGUCGUAACAAGGUAG